ACCCGCACAAGCGGUGGAUGAUGUGGAUUAAUUCGAUGCAACGCGAAGAACCUUACCUACCCUUGACAUGUCCGGAACUUGCCAGAGAUGGCUUGGGUGCCCGAAAGGGAAUCGGAACACAGGUGCUGCAUGGCUGUCGUCAGCUCGUGUCGUGAGAUGUUGGGUUAAGUCCCGCAACGAGCGCAACCCUUAUCAUUAGUUGCUACGCAAGGGCACUCUAAUGAGACUGCCGGUGACAAACCGGAGGAAGUGGGGAUGACGUCAAGUCCUCAUGGCCCUUAUGGGUAGGGCUUCACACGUCAUACAAUGGUCGGCACAGAGGGUUGCCAAGCCGCGAGGUGGAGCCAAUCCCAGAAAGCCGAUCGUAGUCCGGAUUGUUCUCUGCAACUCGAGAGCAUGAAGUCGGAAUCGCUAGUAAUCGCGGAUCAGCAUGUCGCGGUGAAUACGUUCCCGGGUCUU
Molecule: ribosomal RNA, 459 nt
Filed under: uncultured Thiobacillus sp.
Lineage: Bacteria; Pseudomonadati; Pseudomonadota; Betaproteobacteria; Nitrosomonadales; Thiobacillaceae
Description: bacterial SSU rRNA
Rfam family: Bacterial small subunit ribosomal RNA
Source: RNAcentral